This 556-nucleotide ribosomal RNA is filed under the name Fusarium sp. OTU36 TS-2013. RNAcentral describes it as "eukaryotic LSU rRNA". It matches the Rfam family "Eukaryotic large subunit ribosomal RNA", at positions 68 to 648 of the family's 3401-position model. The record is from RNAcentral. Lineage: Eukaryota; Fungi; Ascomycota; Sordariomycetes; Hypocreales; Nectriaceae.
ACAGGGAUUGCCCCAGUACGGCGAGUGAAGCGGCAACAGCUCAAAUUUGAAAUCUGGCUCUCGGGCCCGAGUUGUAAUUUGUAGAGGAUGCUUUUGGUGAGGUGCCUUCCGAGUUCCCUGGAACGGGACGCCAUAGAGGGUGAGAGCCCCGUCUGGUUGGACGCCGAACCUCUGUAAAGCUCCUUCGACGAGUCGAGUAGUUUGGGAAUGCUGCUCUAAAUGGGAGGUAUAUGUCUUCUAAAGCUAAAUACCGGCCAGAGACCGAUAGCGCACAAGUAGAGUGAUCGAAAGAUGAAAAGAACUUUGAAAAGAGAGUUAAACAGUACGUGAAAUUGUUGAAAGGGAAGCGCUUGUGACCAGACUUGGGCUUGGUUGAUCAUCCGGGGUUCUCCCCGGUGCACUCUUCCGGCUCAGGCCAGCAUCAGUUCGCCCUGGGGGAUAAAGGCAUCGGGAACGUGGCUCUCUCCGGGGAGUGUUAUAGCCCGUUGCGUAAUACCCUGUGGCGGACUGAGGUUCGCGCAUUCGCAAGGAUGCUGGCGUAAUGGUCAUCAGUGAC